This 239-nucleotide long non-coding RNA is filed under the name Glycine max (soybean). Its description in RNAcentral is "long non-coding RNA (GMAX_LNC000204)". The record is from RNAcentral. Lineage: Eukaryota; Viridiplantae; Streptophyta; Magnoliopsida; Fabales; Fabaceae.
ACUCUUGAUCGAAAAAUAUCUAAAGUUAAAAAACGUACUAAUCCAAAAAAAGAUAAUCAUAACCUUAGAGAGUUUUUUUAAAAUCAUUAAAUACUUUUGAAAAAAAAACAGAUUAAUUUUUUAUUUUUUUUCUUUUAAAGUUUAUAGGUACCAUCCAUCGAGACCAUCCUGCUAAAAUUAUAUAGGAUUACUAUAAAUGAUAGAACACAAUUUAAGAUAAUUGUAAACUUAAGAUUUAU